GGGAUUGGACACACCUGGAAUGGUUCGAACGCAUGAUCUUGGGAAACAGAGGCGCUGGCAAAAUUGAAAAAUAAAGCACAAAAAAUGCAUAGCUCCGGGGGAUCGAACUCAUGAAGGCAGGACACAGAACCCUCAGGGGUUAAACCACACGUGUGAAUAAACUCACAUGCUCAUCCAUUUCUGAUUUCAGCCGAUGAGCUUUUCUCCCCUUUUUCUCUCUAACCUCGAGCCCAGAGCCAUGAGAGCUCUUAAACCCUAGCCUCCAUAUUUCUCCAAAGAUGAGAUAUCUCUCUAACUCCCCCACUCUCUCACUCAUUUACAACUCAACAAAGAGGUUCAUGGAGUUCAUCAUGCUUGCAAAAAGAGUUGCAGGCCCCAUUUUCGUCCGAUCUAAAAGUCGAAAGACGCAAAGGAAACUCGAGUGACAAAGAGAACUCAAGCACUGAUUUGUGGUAGAGUCCGCGAUUUUCAAAUCCAAAAGGAA
This 484-nucleotide small RNA is filed under the name Malus domestica (apple). RNAcentral's name for it is "sRNA MD04G0077100". The record is from RNAcentral. Lineage: Eukaryota; Viridiplantae; Streptophyta; Magnoliopsida; Rosales; Rosaceae.